Molecule: non-coding RNA, 2118 nt
Organism: Misgurnus anguillicaudatus (oriental weatherfish)
Lineage: Eukaryota; Metazoa; Chordata; Actinopteri; Cypriniformes; Cobitidae
Source: RefSeq, a predicted model, not a curated record
CCGAAAGCUGAUUCCAGCUACAGGUUCAUACUGUUGUAUUCUUUUAUACUGUUUCAUUCGUACUGUUUUAAAUCAUUCAGUAAAUGCAAAGUUAAACCGUCGUGUUUUUCAUCUAGAUUUAAAAGUGUCUACCGUUGAAACACAUCUGAUCUCUUCUGAAAGCUGAUUCCAGCUCCAGGUGGCAUAUUAACUGAAUGCUGAUGCACCUUGUAUUUCGAUUGCUUUGUAUGCUUGAAACAUGUGAAGAAUUGACAAUAAAUAAUCUUUAUCAAGUGUUAUACAUUAAAAAGUGGAUAAGUAACAAAAAUGUCACUCCUGACAGCUGAUAAAUUAAUGUUUUUUUAUAGCACCAUUGAGGCGAGCACUUUUCAAGGCAAGAUUCUUUAUAGAACCUUAUAAAAAGUUUCCAUAUAGUACCAAAAAACGGGUUCUGCUGUGGUUACAUGCUGAGGAACCCUUAUUUGGUACUUUUUAGGAGCAUUUGUCUUAAGAGUGUUGCAUAGGUUCGAAACUUUCAAACUUGAAACCAAAUAGAAGGGUCACACUGUUUUUUUUUUGUGGAGUGGACAUGAACAAGCUGCAGGCAUUCAAAUGUUAUUUGUAAUUUAUUGUCUUAUUUCAUAUUUAAAAAAUAGCUAUACAACUGGUGUUCCUCAAUUUUAGGGCCUAUUUUGUUUAGUAUAUCAGUUUUGUUCAGUUUUUUAUGUGCAUGCAAAAAGCAAUCAGCAAGCAAAUUAACUGAAGCUUUACCUUCAUGUUCUUUUUGUGUAAGUGAUAACUGUUUCUGUAUGUAUUUUAUGUAUUUGUAUGUUUUUUACACGUAUAGAGUGAAAUGCACACGGUGAGGAAUGGACCCAGACCUUCAGUGCCAGACCUCUGACCCGUUAACCUCCAUCCCGACAGCCAGCGCCUUCUCCGGCUCCCAUUGCGGUAUCGCUUCUCGGCUUUUUGGACAAGAACAAGUGGACACCGGGGACUACAAGUUUAAAUGGAUUUUUGACCUUCGGAAAUGGAAGCGAGGCUUGCUCCGUCCACUCCGUUCAUCGACUCGGGCGCUUUCCGGGCACAAAUAAGUUUGCGGAGGUGAUACCAGGACGAAUUAAACAGCCUCGACACAGCUGAAGGCGCAAGAAAAUCGUACGAGACAGUUUGGGAUGUUAAAAACACCUGAAAACUUUUUUUCCACUACCCUUCAUACUACAGCGGUCGAAAAACCACAGCAACGUCGACACGCCUGGAAGCAUAGCUGUAUUUGUUUAAGACAACGGGUAAAGUAUUUUCUUGAUUACCUAAAUGACUUGCAGUAAGAAAAUAUUUUAAUUUAUAAUGAUAACUCUGUCAUCAUUUAUUCAUCCUCGUGUUGUUUUCAACCUGUAUGCAUUCGUAUUUUGGAGGUGACACGAUGACGACUUAAACAUCAUCGACACAGCUGAAAAAGCGAACGAGACAGAUUGGGAUGUUCAAAACACCUGAAAACUUUUUUUUCACUGUACUACAGCUGUCGAAGAACCACAGCAACGUCGGCAGAUCUGGAAGCAUAGCUGUAUUUGUUUAACUCACAACGACAACGGGUAAGUCAUUGAGCCCUUGUGUUUUUAUUUAUCCACGUUCUAAAAUUGCUAUGCUUUCGUUGUUUCUCGAUUGCUCUGUACAUUUCUUUGUUUCUAUUCCACGUAAAGUUACUUUGUAAUAACGAAACGAUAUAUUGAAAUGCGCUAUUUAAAUCCAUUUGAUUUAAAUUGUUUCACGUUUUUCUCUCUGCACGGUUUAACCGGGCUGGAAACGGAAAAUGGGUAGAUCUCGAAGAAUAUUUGGUUUCAGACCUGGCUUCGUGCGCCUUUCCACCUGGUCACACACAGUAAUGAAAUGGUAGUCGGACGGCCUUCGGGGGCGCCGUCGAUGUGAUCGGUCACAGGAAGAUGCGGCCGUCUGGCCUCAAAGGCUGUUGCUCAUACUUACCUGGCAGGGGAGAUACCAUGAUCAUGAAGGUGGUUCACCCAGGGCGAGGCUCAGCCAUUGCACUCCGGUUGUGCUGACCCUUUGCGAAUUCCCCAAAUGUGGGAAUCUCGACUGCAAAAUUUCUGAUAGUGGGGGACUGCGUUCGCGCUCUCCCCUGGC